Anser cygnoides (Swan goose) is the source of this 1851-nucleotide long non-coding RNA. Lineage: Eukaryota; Metazoa; Chordata; Aves; Anseriformes; Anatidae. The record is from Ensembl.
UAAAAGUGAGCACCGCCUGCUUCCCCUGAGACCGCUCAGCGCUUUCCGCGUCGCACCUUCUCCCUGCCUGCUUUCUCGUUACAGCCCGGUGGUUUCAGUCAGGCAGCUGCCUUUCCCAUCAAGAUUUUGGUAUUUGUCGUGGCUAACUUCAAGAUUUUCCAAUAGGGGAUGUGUAAGACCAAGGCCCGGGCCACGUGAGCAUGAAUCACUCGGUUACCGCGGAAACGAUCGACACUAUUUGGUUUUUACUUCUUCGGCCCCAGUGACCGGAUCACACGCCGACCUCCCCGGGCUCAGGCACACCCAAAGUCUGGGGACGAUGCGAGCCUGGGCGCUGCGCGUGAAUCACCGUGACUGCGAGCCUUCUGCUGCAAGGGGAAAGCACGAACUGGGCGUGAGCUUCCCCCCCCCGCUCCUUUUCCAUUUCCUUUUGUCUGAGGGAGAAGGAGGGCUGGAAAGGUCCCAUCCGUGCGAAGAAAUGAGCAGCUUAUCCCACUUCCACGUGCAAAAAGAAACUGAGAAUCACGGCUUUACGGGUUAAAACAGCGUCGCUGUGAGUGUGGAUGAGUUCCACUGCGAGUGAAAAAUGGCAGAAGGGGGUUUAGCUUAACUCCCUCCGCGACGCCUUUUCUCCAGGGGAAAGAUUUACAGGUGUGAGGGAGGUUUUGCAUUUUACCCAGGUAGCUGCGACAAAUCCAGGCUUUUAAAAAAUGAAAUUGUGCCCUAACAGCUCUGUGAGAACGACCACAUGGGGUCAGCCCAGCUCUCCCCAGCGGGGCUCGGCGCAGAUGGCCGGGACCUGCGCAGGAACAGAGAUUUUGGACAAGCCUUCUCCAGACACAUCCUCCCAGUUUCCGGCAAUCAGCAGCGCGGGGACAUCCUGACCCAGGAUGUUCAUCUGGCCCCUGGUAUUUAAUAGCCGAACGCCGCUCUCCGUGCAUGUGCCUCAGCUCCUGACCUCCAGAGCUCCCAGAGUGCCGCAGCGUAACGGCUCUGAAUGGGGAAAAAAGCCUUCAGUUUGUUUAAAACUCCUCUUUUAUUAGUCCCGGAGACCGGCCCUGUCCUAUUUACAGCCACAGGUGCUGACUUCAGCUUGGCUUGAGGACAGAAACCUUUUUCACGUGCGGAUUUUUGUAGCGGCAUGGGCCCGAACCAGAGCAGGGAAACGAUCUGGAUGGAAAAACCUCCCCGAGGGAAGGGGAAUUUGCCAGGCUGCUGGUGGAGGGGGGAACAGACCCUCUUCGGCUGGGUUUACAAGCAGUGAGUGAAGAAACCCCCCCCCCCGAUGGAAGCAGCGGGGUUUUAACCCAACCUCAGUGCCUCCAAAAGCCUCUUCCAUUCCAGCAAUGUUUUAGGGAAAGGCUGCUGGCACUCGGGGAUUAACCUCUCGCAAAGGUUUGCUCUUCACACCCUCCCAGGGCCCGUAACCCCCCCUGGCAGACCCUGUGCCCACCCCUCAGGCAGGGCAGCUGGUUUUCAGUGCCCCUCUCUCCUUGUGCAGCGAGCUUGAAGCCCUUUCUCUGAUUUUAGCCACAUCGGAAGGAGGCGGUGAUGCUCUUAAAGGCUUUCUGAAGAAUAAGUGAGUGUCUGGGGAAGGGCUCAGCUGCUCUGUGAACACCCCGGAGGGUCCCCGCACAAAACAGGCCUCGUUUCUUAGCACGGUGAUGGGAAGUGGCCGCGGAGAAGCUCCCACUUCUAGAGACAUCUGUAAGACCCACGGUGGCUUUCCAAAGGUCAAGUGAUUCAGGUCAGCGAGGAUUCACAGCAGCCAGCAGAUAAAUCUCCACGGGACCGCCGAAGCCAGGGUUUGGUUGCAAAAAGCUGAAAUAAAGCGUUUCCACUCGUGUCGCA